UGGGGAAUAUUGGACAAUGGGGGAAACCCUGAUCCAGCAAUGCCGCGUGUGUGAAGAAGGCCUGCGGGUUGUAAAGCACUUUCAGUGGGGAGGAGAAGUUAGAUAUUAAUACCAUCUGACUGAGACGUUACCCACAGAAGAAGCACCGGCUAACUCUGUGCCAGCAGCCGCGGUAAUACAGAGGGUGCAAGCGUUAAUCGGAAUUACUGGGCGUAAAGGGUGCGUAGGUUGUUAAUCUUGUGGGCUGUGAAAUACCCGGGCUUAACCUGGGCAGGACAGCCCAAACAGAUUGACUAGAGUUCAGGAGAGGGUAGUGGAAUUUCCGGUGUAGCGGUGAAAUGCGUAGAUAUCGGAAGGAACACCAGUGGCGAAGGCGACUACCUGGCCUGAUACUGACACUGAAGUACGAAAGCGUGGGGAGCGAACAGGAUUAGAUACCCCUGUAGUCC
This 449-nucleotide ribosomal RNA is filed under the name uncultured prokaryote. Its description in RNAcentral is "bacterial SSU rRNA". It matches the Rfam family "Bacterial small subunit ribosomal RNA", at positions 355 to 796 of the family's 1533-position model. The record is from RNAcentral.